GCAAGUUUUAUUCAUGACCAUAAAACAGAGAUUAGCUCUUAUCUCUGGCACGCAGCAAUAUCAGGCACCAGCCCUUGCUCCAGAGCUUUGGCAGCCGAGGACCAGAGCAGCACACGAAGAGGAACUUCUUGGAAAAGGAGGAGGAGGAGGAAGGCAUUUGCUCGAGACUAAUUGAAUUUUCUGCCCGUGAAGAGAAGGACACGACACAGACACCCUUGAUUCCUCCACAAAGGUUGUGCAAACCCUGCAGUGCCUCCAGGAAGGAUGUGCAAACCCCUUGGUCUCUCCACACCUCCUCCAGGGAUGGGACAACAGCUGAUCCUCAAGAAUGGCAGGUCUCCAGCACCUCCAGAGAGCAGGAGGACUUGAGGAAGAGCGUUUCUAUUCAACAGCAUCCAAGGAGACCCAUGGUCAACAUGGUGAGAGCCUGAAAUGUGGCAGUGCCAAAGCAAAAACCAAAUGGGAGAAGCCUCGUCCCACCCGUUGGGAGCCAGCGCCGAUCCUGGGACAAGGUCCCUGCUCCCAUCCACCAGAGUGGGUUAAUGCUGCUGCAGCUCCCUGCUGGAACAGGGCCAGAGGAAAAAGGCUCCACCAUUUCCCGGUCUGCCUGGAAAACAGGCCAGCUGUUUUCUCCAGCAGCAGAAGGUUGUUUAUUCUGGGCCAGAUUCAACAGCGCGUUGUCCCCCCAGCCCCGCUCUCCAGCCUGCGGUGAGGCUGAAGGGCACAACCUGCCCGGGGGGAGCCGGGCACUCUCCCACCUGGUGUGACCCCUCCCUGGGCGCCACUCUGCCCUUUCUGUCCCCAUCCCUUUCCUUUCCUCGUCUGGCUCCAAGCAGGGCUGGGGACGCCCUUUCCUGCCUGGCACCCGGCUGGCCCGACAGCAGACGCGGUGCUGCCAAGCACCACCACACCGCUUCCCCUCCGCAAUCCUGGCCAAACCCCGCCACGUUCUCAUCCUCUCUGCUGCACUAUCAACCUGAAAAACGUGCCUGGGGGAGAAAGAAGGACUAAAGAAAGGAAAAAGAAAGGAAGAAAGGAACCAGCCUUUGGCUCAGGCGUGCCAAAGGGAGCAUGAGCGCGCGCGGGCUUGGCUCCCUUCCUCGCCAGCUCUUUUCCCAGCAGAGCCAUAAGGGACAGGGCGAGUACAAUUGUGAGUGGAGCAGGUCCCAGCGGCUCAGCUGGCUCUGGGCUGGGAUAGCCAAGGGACACUGAGUGCUCCACAGAGACAUAUUUCCAAAAUAAAGUCAUUCUGGUGCUCCUCCAGCCCCGCCAGCCACCCAACAGCUCGCCGCAAAGCAUCGCUGCCGCCCCCACAGCCAAAAUAAAGCUGUGAGGGGCCCUGACCCUGCAGAGGCGAGGCUGAGUGCUCCCCAGGCAGCCCCUUCCUCCAGCCACAGUGGUUCUCAGUGUGAAGAGCAGCACGGGGCUUGGCCG
Molecule: long non-coding RNA, 1434 nt
Organism: Passer domesticus (house sparrow)
Lineage: Eukaryota; Metazoa; Chordata; Aves; Passeriformes; Passeridae
Exons: 4
Source: RefSeq, a predicted model, not a curated record